UUACUUACCUGACAGGGGAGAGACCAUAAUCUUGAAGGUGGUUUUCCCAGGGCAAGGCUAUCCCAUUGCACUUUGGGUGACACCUGUGAUGUCCUCAAAUGCAGGAUACAUGACUGCAAAAUUUAUGGUAGUGGGGAACUGCAUUUGUACUCUGAA
Small nuclear RNA from Chiloscyllium plagiosum (whitespotted bambooshark), 156 nucleotides. RefSeq annotates it as U1 spliceosomal RNA. The record is from RefSeq and is a predicted model, not a curated record. NCBI's taxonomy places the organism in Eukaryota, Metazoa, Chordata, Chondrichthyes, Orectolobiformes, Hemiscylliidae.